GAUGAAGAACGCAGCGAAAUGCGAAAAGUAAUGUGAAUUGCAGAAUUCAGUGAAUCAUCGAAUCUUUGAACGCACAUUGCGCCCGCCAGUAUUCUGGCGGGCAUGCCUGUCUGAGCGUCAUUUCAACCCUCACGCCCCUAGGGCGUGGUGUUGGGGAUCGGCCAGCGCCCGCAAGGGCAAGGCCGUCCCCCAAAUCUAGUGGCGGACCCGUCGUGGCCUCCCCUGCGAAGUAGUGAUAUUCCGCAUAGGAGAGCGACGAGCCCCUGCCGUUAAACCCCCAACUUUCUCAGGUUGACCUCAGAUCAGGUAGGAAUACCCGCUGAACUUAAGCAUAUCAAUAAGCGGAGGA
This 349-nucleotide unclassified non-coding RNA is filed under the name soil metagenome. RNAcentral describes it as "partial contains 5.8S ribosomal RNA, internal transcribed spacer 2, and large subunit ribosomal RNA". The stretch from base 1 to 120 matches the Rfam family "5.8S ribosomal RNA", at positions 35 to 154 of the family's 154-position model. The record is from RNAcentral.